ACGGAGGGGGCCAGCGUUGCUCGGAAUUAUUGGGCGUAAAGGGCGCGUAGGCGGCCGAGUAAGUUUGAUGUGAAAUCCCACGGCUUAACCGUGGAAUCGCAUCUUAUACUGCCCGGCUAGAGUCUGGGAGAGGGAAGUGGAAUUCCCGGUGUAGCGGUGAAAUGCGUAGAGAUGUGGAGGAACACCAGUGGCGAAGGCGGCUUUUUGGUCUGUAACUGACGCUGAGGCGCGAAAGCGUGGGGAGCAAACAGGA
Molecule: ribosomal RNA, 253 nt
Filed under: uncultured prokaryote
Description: partial 16S ribosomal RNA
Rfam family: Bacterial small subunit ribosomal RNA
Source: RNAcentral